AAUCCCCUAAUCUCAAUACUGCCAUUUCCGCAAAUCGCUAUUUCCUGUUAAGAAGACGACACACACACACACACGCACGCAUACAUAUCCAUCUUCACAUUAUUAUUCUCCCAAUUCAAAUUGGAUUGGUUUCUCCAUGACCAUGUCCAUAACUCUGUUACUCCAACCCAACCCCUCCCACUUCAAAUGGAACCAAUUGCCACCGCCUCCGAGUCACGCUUUUCCAAAACCCCAUAAAUUCAUUCCAAUACCCGACUCAAAACGGCGAGUUCCCGCUGCGUAUAACGGAGUCAAAUGCCUCUCAUCUCCGAAUCCACAAAACUCGUCCAAUUCCCAAUCCACGUGGGAAGUUCUGGCGAGUACGGUAUCGAAUGCGCUGAAGGCGUUGAAGAAACCAGCCGUAGCUGCGCUCUUGGUUGGGCUUUUGUUAAUGUAUGAUCCAAACGCUGCGUUAGCGGCAUCUGGAGGGAGAAUGGGAGGAAGGUCCUUCUCUUCAUCUUCAUCUUCAUCGAGGAGUUACUCGGUGCCGAGGACAUCGGGCCCAAGCCCAGGGUUCUCUUAUUCGGCUCCGUAUUAUGGGCCUUCUCCGUUCGGUGGGGUUUAUGUUGGGCCCGCCGUUGGGGUUGGUGUUGGUGCCGGGUCCAGUUUCUUUCUCAUCUUAGUGGGAUUCCUCGCUUUUGUUUUGGUUUCCGGCUUUCUUUCGGAUCGCUCUGAGGGUAGUGUGCUCACUGCUGCCGACAAAACCACCGUCCUCAAGCUUCAGGUUGGAUUGUUGGGGAUGGGUCGCUCACUUCAAAGGGAUCUGAAUAGGAUUGCGGAAGUUGCUGAUACAUCAACUUCAGAAGGUCUGAACUAUGUAUUGACAGAGACAACACUAGCUUUGCUCCGUCAUCCUGAUUACUGCAUUUCAGCAUAUUCAUCCGUGGACAUAAAGCGGGGUAUGGAAGAUGGGGAGAAACGUUUUAAUCAACUUUCAAUUGAAGAGCGGGGAAAAUUUGAUGAAGAGACUUUGGUCAAUGUUAAUAACAUAAAAAGGCAAAGCACAAGAAGCCAGAGAGCAAAUGGGUUCAGCAAUGAAUACAUAGUGGUAUCAUCUCAUUUUUCCAAUAACUUUCUUAUUUGUGUUUUCAAGAUGUUGUAUUACCACCUGCAUUGCAGUGGUCCAUAUUUUCACCAUGCACUUAUAAUUAACUUUAAAAAACAUAAUGAAAUCAUAUUAUUACACAUUAACCUGCAUUAAGUAUGAAAUUGGAAAGACUUCACCUAUGACUUAGUACAUUUUAUGUGCUUCAUACAUGUUCAAAUGUCCAGGUUUAAUAUUGCUAUUCACAACCAUAUUUAGAAAAGAUAUUUUUCUAUCAGAAAAAUAAAAUAGAAAAGAUGUGGAAAAACUUUGGUCUAUGAGGUCCUGACGCAAGUAUUACACUUCCAGCUUAAAAGCAUAUCGCUGAGAAUGAGACACUUAGUUAACUGUUUGUAGAUUUGACCUUCCUAAUAGGAACAUUUUUGCAUACCAUUGGGGAUAGUUCUUGUGAAUAUUUCAAAGAUGAACCUUGUUCACGUGCCUAGUAUAGGUCAACAGUCAUUCCUUCUAUGAGGAAGACAACAAGACCAAUGAAGAAAAGGGAAUGAACAGAUGAAAAUCAAUAAACCAAUUGAGAACAUCUCUCUCCUGUUUUACUCUUCAGAAACCUACAGUUCUCUUGUUAUGUUUGUUGGACAUCAGCACAGUUGAGUCUGAUUGCCUUUUUCUUGUUGAAGAAAUAAGUUGUUUUAAAUGGGUCUCAUGGUAAUGACGUACACUGAAUGAAUUUGGACUGAAACUUCUUUUUGAUGCUUUCUUUCUCUCUCUUGAUGUUGUCAGAUUGUAAUGAUUUGCUUGCUCUAUAACUCUAAUGCAUCUUCUUCUUUCCAAAUUACAUAGGUACAUCCGUUAACCUACAUCCAUGUCUAAGCAGGCAAUCAUCAAUCUCCUAAAUUCAAUAGAUAACAAUCUUAGCAGCUGCUGAAGGAGAACAUAAACUUCCUAGCAUCAAUGGAAGUAGAGACUUGAAGGAAGCUUUACAGAAACUUGGAUCCAUUCCUUCGAGCAAAUUAUUGGCGGUUGAGGUGUUAUGGACCCCACAGAAUGAGAAUGAUACUCUAUCAGAACGGGAGUUACUUGAAGAUUACCCACUUUUACGGCCUUUGUAAACUGUGAUGGUAUGCUUGCAUGCUGCCCCUAGCCUUCCAGAACUACGAGCUGAAAUUGGGUCGUGAUUGCAUAGUUGAGGAUCAUCUCCAAUUAUACCGAAAUAAUAACGUUAAAACUAUUGAGAUUGUCCUGCUACUCAAUCUGCAAGGCUAUUUUCAGCUGUCACUUUUGAAGGUUCAAGCUUAAAUAUUGAUGGUGUAAGUUGUAAAAAUUACCAGUAGGAUCAACUCUAAAAAAUAUGUACAAUUUUACCCACAGUCAUUGCAUCAUUUUAAUUUGAAAUAGAUGUCUUCUCUGUUUA
This is an RNA transcript of Abrus precatorius (Indian licorice), 2495 nucleotides long. RefSeq lists it as uncharacterized. The record is from RefSeq and is a predicted model, not a curated record. The transcript has 6 exons. Lineage: Eukaryota; Viridiplantae; Streptophyta; Magnoliopsida; Fabales; Fabaceae.